RNAcentral lists this ribosomal RNA (1066 nucleotides) under Witica cayanus. RNAcentral's name for it is "SSU rRNA". It matches the Rfam family "Eukaryotic small subunit ribosomal RNA", at positions 682 to 1764 of the family's 1831-position model. Lineage: Eukaryota; Metazoa; Arthropoda; Arachnida; Araneae; Araneidae. The record is from RNAcentral.
UGUCUGUCGCCGAGCGUUCAGGCGGUUAUUCUUGAUGAUCUUCACCGGUUGUCUCGGGUGACCGCCAAGUUUACUUUGAAAAAAUUAGAGUGCUCAAAGCAGGCGCGACGCCUGAAUAAUUGUGCAUGGAAUAAUGGAAUAGGACCUCGGUUCUAUUUUGUUGGUUUUCGGAACACGAGGUAAUGAUUAAGAGGGACAGACGGGGGCAUUCGUAUUGCGACGCUAGAGGUGAAAUUCUUGGACCGUCGCAAGACGAACUACUGCGAAAGCAUUUGCCAAGAAUGUUUCCAUUAAUCAAGAACGAAAGUUAGAGGUUCGAAGGCGAUCAGAUACCGCCCUAGUUCUAACCAUAAACGAUGUCAGCCAGCAAUCCGCCUGUGUUCCUCAAAUGACACGGCGGGCGGCUUCCGGGAAACCAAAGCUUUUGGGUUCCGGGGGAAGUAUGGUUGCAAAGCUGAAACUUAAAGGAAUUGACGGAAGGGCACCACCAGAAAUGGAGCCUGCGGCUUAAUUUGACUCAACACGGGUAAACUCACCCGGUCCGGACACAGGAAGGAUUGACAGAUUAAGAGCUCUUUCUUGAUUCUGUGGGUGGUGGUGCAUGGCCGUUCUUAGUUCGUGGGUCGACUUGUCUGGUUAAUUCCGAUAACGAACGAGACUCUAGCCUACUAAAUAGGCGUUCCGAUCCUCUUGAAGUCGGACGCUCUUCUUAGAGGGACAAGCGGCGUUUAGCCGCACGAGACAGAGCAAUAACAGGUCUGAGAUGCCCUUAGAUGUCCGGGGCCGCACGCGCGCUACAUUGAAGGAAUCAGCGUGUGCUUCCCCUGUCCGAAAGGACUGGGUAACCCGUUGAACCUCCUUCGUGCUGGGGAUUGGCGCCUGUAAUUACUCGCCAUGAACGAGGAAUUCCCAGUAAGCACGAGUCAUCAGCUCGUGUUGAUUACGUCCCUGCCCUUUGUGCACACCGCCCGUCGCUACUACUGAUUGAAUGAUUUAGUGAGGUCUUCGGACUGGCUCUCGGAUUGGCCUUCGUGGUCGAGCCGGCGUGCCGGAAAGAUGACCAAAC